This is a long non-coding RNA of Salvelinus fontinalis (brook trout), 3489 nucleotides long. RefSeq lists it as uncharacterized. The record is from RefSeq and is a predicted model, not a curated record. The transcript has 2 exons. Lineage: Eukaryota; Metazoa; Chordata; Actinopteri; Salmoniformes; Salmonidae.
CGGCUUAGGCCGCCCAUUGUGACUCGCUUGUAGGCGUGUUAUAUGAAGGUCUGGUUAUGAAAUGGGUACAUAGUUCAAUAGUAAUAUCCUCUAAAACGCUCUGGUGGCAAACAAACUUUACUGCCCUGUUUUCAAUUGUCCACAUGGCUGGGAGAACCUGUUCAAGUAACGUUGGCUAGCUAACAGCCAUGGAGGAGGGUGAUAGGAUAGCAGCCCCAACUGUCAGUGAGAGAGUAAGUUAUUCUGGAUAGGGCAGGUACUUUUGUUUAGUUCCUGUCCCUAGAAGUGAGGAUGGAGAUAAUAGUAACAUAAUAGUAACAGACUAUAAUGAAGUCUGUUUCUUGUGAGGUUUUCUGUCCUCAAAUAAAGAGAGCUAUGAAACCUGUCUACAUAUGAAGAGGUCCUAAUGGAGAGCAGUGGUUCUCAGUCCUGGUCCUGGGGACUCAAAGGGGUGCACAUUUUUGUUUUUGCCUUAGCACUGCACAGCUGAUUCAAAUGGUCAACUCAUCAUCACGCUUCAAGUGGUAUUUAUGUAUUCAUUUGUGAUGCUAUCCUUAAUAUGAUCCUGUUAUUGUCACAUGCUACACAUGCACAUAUGUGUGCCCAUGCAUCUAUCAUUCCAAUGUUAUCAUGAUUUGUUAUCAGGAAUAUUAUACUUUAGUAAUCCACAAUGACUUGGUGAUGUAAAAGUCUAAUUACAUUGUCUUCCAUAUUCCUACAGAUGCCUUGUAACUGGAGAUUCCUUCAAAACGAUUGCCUACAGUUACUGUGUAGGGCACUGCAAGGUUGGGUGACCAGGGCCAUCUAGGACUGCCUCCUGGAGGAAUUCAGGUGUGUGAAGGCUACCUGUGUCCUGCAUAACUUGGCCAGGUCGCAGUUGCAAAUGAGAACUUGUUCUCAACUAGCCUACCUGGUUAAAUAAAGGUGAAAUAAAAAAUAACUUUGGGGCGGCAGGUAGCAUAGUGGUUAGAGCAUUGGGCCAGUAACCGAAAGGUUGCUAGAUCAAAUCCCUGAGCUGACAAGGUAAAAAUCUGUCAUUCUGCCCCUGAACAAGGCAGUUAACCCACUGUUAACUAGCCCUUCUUACAUCAGCUGAUAUAUCAAAGUGCUGUACAGAAACCCAGCCACCCUAGGCCGUCAUUGUAAAUAAUUUUGUUCUUAACUGGCUUGCCUAGUUAAAUAACAAAAUAACUUCAUGAGGAUGGACACAAGGCUCUGCAGGAUGUUUCAAGGAUGGGGUCCAGCAACGCAGCAAGAGGGAGAUCUUCACCUCCUACUUCUUCGAAGAGGGUGUUGUUCCCUGGCUAUGCACAAACCAUAGACUAUGCACAACCAAAUGCUCUUUUAAGAGUCAUUCACAUUGCAAUAAGAGUGUUCUUCCAUUUCCAUUACUUACUGCAGUUAUUCAAUUCCCAGUUUCUCUCACUUUGAUUUCUACUUCUCAGGUGAGGGUGCUGUUUAGGUAGGGGUGUGAUGUCUGUACAAAAAUAAAACAGGUCAUUUUAAAUCACUCAUAUUGAAAACAUGUAGAACAAUUAGACACCCUAUAACCCACAUCUACACACUCAUGUAUCAAUCUGAUUGAUGGAUUGUGUUGCUCAGGUGUAUAACUGGCUCCUUCCACCUUCAAAGAAUAGGCAAGAGGGCCAACCAUGGAGAAUAGUAAGACAAUUCAUUGUUUCUAUAACUACGCUAUAUUGUUUGUCCUCGUGUGUCCGUUCAUGUUUUUCAGCAUAAAGUACUCAGCAGCCACUUUGUGUGGUGUGGACACCAGGUGAGGCCACACACAGAUUAUUGUUCAACAAAUCAAUUGUAUUUAUAUAGCCCUUACAUCAGCUGAUAUAUCAAAGUGCUGUAUAGAAACCCAGCCUUAAACCCCAAACAGCAAGCAAUGCAGGUGUAGAAGCACGGCAGCUAGGAAAAACUCCCUAGAAAGGCCAAAACUUAGGAAGAAACCUAGAGAGGAACCAGGCUAUGAGGGGUGGCCAGUCCUCUUCUGGCUGUGCCGGGUGGAGAUUAUAACAGAACAUGGCCAAGAUGUUCAAAUGUUCAUAAAUGACCAGCAUGGUCAAAUAAUAAUAAUCACAGUAGUUGUCGAGGGUGCAACAAGUCAGCACCUCAGGAGUAAAUGUCAGUUGGCUUUUCAUAGCCAAUCAUUGAGAGUAUCUCUACCGCUCCUGCUGUCUCUAUAGAGAGUUGAAAACAGCAGGUCUGGGACAGGUAGCACGUCCGGUGAACAGGUCAGGGUUCCAUAGCCGCAGGCAGAACAGUUGAAACUGGAGCAGCAGCACGGCCAGGUGGACUGGAGGAGCAAGGAGUCAUCAUGCCAGGUAGUCCUGAGGCAUGGUCCUAGGGCUCAGGUCCUCCGAGAGAAAGAAUUAGAGAGAGCAUACUUAAAUUCACACAGGACACCGGAUAAGACAGGAGAAAUACUCCAGAUAUAACAGACUGACCCUAUUCCCCCGACACAAACUACUGCAGCAUGAAUACUGGAGGCUGAGACAGGAGUCAGGAGACACUGUGGUCCCAUCUGAUGAUAACCCCGGACAGGGCCAAACAGGCAGGAUAUGACCCCACCGACUUUGCCAGAGCACAGCCCCCACACCACUAGAGGGAUAUCUUCAACCACCAACUUACCAUCCUGAGACAAGGCCGAGUAUAGCCCACAAAGAUCUCUCUCUCUUUCACUUCGUCCCUUUCUCCUCUUCUCCAUCUGCAUCUCCUCUUCUCCUGCAUCUGAACUGGCUGCAUAGAAUUGUAAUUAGUGAUUAAUGUUUUACGGACUCCUGAGAGAACCAGCAAACCAGGCUGUAGUCUUGUGAAACAGUGGAUGUGAAGAAUCUAGCUAGCUGAAGCAUUUACUGCAAAGUUUUAUGUAUAAUUUUGGCUUGCUGAUAUUUUCCAUGCAAUGCAGCUAACUAUUUUCUUGCUUGUUGUGUAGUGGAGGAUAAAAAAUACCACAGGCAUACAGGAUGUAUAGCUAGCUAUGUAGCCGAUCUGUGUAGGGAACCUUAAAUAUUAGGUCAGAACCUAGCUAUCAUAGCCGGUUGUAUCGACUUAAAACAUUAAUGACACUAAUGAAGCCUUUGGAUUGAGUAUAAUAUAACUUUAUUGUGCCAAAGAUGCAAGUUGUAAAUACAUGUUAUUACCAAGCAUUAGAUCCCCACAUUGUAGCCUGUACAUUGAAUAUAUUCACUGAUCAUUUACUCUACCUUGGCAAAUAAAGGUGCAGUUCAUGUAUGAAUGUGUUGGAGACAUUCUUUUUCAGUCAUAUCCAAUACCAGGCGUAUCAAACUCCAGUCUUUGAAUGAUGCUGUAUCUACCUGCAUGUAUGUAUUACAAUUAUACACUUUAAAAGUGUUUACCAAUCCUGGUCCUGGGACAUCAAUGGUUACAUACUGUAACUAUGCAAGACUAGAAAUAUGAUUUAACUAGUUAAAGAUUGAUUUGUAAUUCAUAUAUACAGAAUAAAAUAAACAGUACACUAAA